Molecule: long non-coding RNA, 1469 nt
Filed under: Homo sapiens (human)
Lineage: Eukaryota; Metazoa; Chordata; Mammalia; Primates; Hominidae
Description: HSALNT0217105
Source: RNAcentral
AGUAAGUCACAGUCGGGACACUGGUUCCUGUCACUGGGUGCAGCACAAAGAAGGACCCCAGGACAUGCGGUGCAGACGGGAGCACAGAGAGGGAGAAAACCACACACGUGGCCAUUGAUGCCCUUGGUUGACAGAGUUGACGGGAUUUUCUCUGGCUCUCACCUUGAGGGCAUCAUCAGCAUCCUGAAGUCACUAGCGGGCCUCUGUGCAGAUGUCCUUUCGAGGGGCUUCAGGCUGUGGAAGUGACCAGUGAACACAGGACCUGCCUGGACUCCCAGCCUCACAGCACAGCACCACAGCCUGGACUGCCCCCUGCCUGAUACUUGCUUGGUUUGGAACUUUACUCCAUCAAAACAUCCAAAUAAAAAUAUGUAGACUCCCCACCCUAUCCCAUCUGCUAUAGGGUUCUAAUUCCCCCACAGACAUCCCAUCACAGUGCUUUCCCCCAUGACGGGGGACUCCUGAGCUGGACUCCAUCCCUCCCCUACCAGAAAAGCACAGGUGCUGUGGCAUGAGUUCAACCGCCUGAAAUUCCCUGAUCUUCAGAGUAAUAAUUCUAAAAUAGGGCAAUAAUACCCCUGUCAGUGUUCUUGGAAGAACUUCUCAUUACUUGAGGCCCCAGAAAUGCAAACACUCCUCCGGUUUUCCAGCGUGCUGUCAACCCUGGCAUCAGAGCUCUUCCUGCCGUGGGCACUGGUAAUUGACUUACUGGAGAAAGUCAAGCUUUUAAGUCCCAGGAAUAAAGGAUUCCUAUUUCCUUAAGCUAUGUUUAUUUUUACGCUAUUGCUGGUAGAGUCAAUGUGUACUGAGUGAAGAUGAGGCAAGAGUGUCAAAGAGUGAUUUCCAAUAAGAUGAAAAGUGAUCUGCAGUUUCUACUUCCUUAACCAGCAGGAAACGUUUCUCCUGUAGCAUCGGACAGUGGAGGCAGUGGCGCUCAGUGUGGGGCCUCCUGGCUGAAGGAGGGGACAACACGGUGUCCCAUCUCCCUAGAUGCUGUAUGCACCUCACCUGGCUGGUGAUUUACUUGACAGAAACCCAUGUGUGGAGUAGGGAGUGCUGCCUUUGGCAUCUACCCAGUUUCUGCUCUGGACUCUGCCUCUUAGCAAGGGUGACUUGUGGGCCCAAAUCACCUGGUGGCUGUGAGCCACUCCACUCCAGCCUGGGCAAGAGUGAGACCUUGUGUGAAAAUAAAAUAAAAUAUAAAAAUAAAAAUAAGCCGGGAAUGGCGGCUCACAGCUGUAAUCCCAGCACUUUGGGAAGCCAAGACGGGCGGAUCACAUGUGGUCGGGAGUUCGAGACUAGCCUGACCAAUAUGGAGAAACGCUGUCUCUACUAAAAAUACAAAAAAUUAACCGGCUGUUGUGGCUCAUGCCUGUAAUCCCAGCUACUCAGGAGGCUGAGGCAGGAGAGUCACUUGAACCCAGGAGGCAGGCGUUGCAGUGAGCCAAGUUCCUGCCAUUGCACUCCAG